GACGAACGCUGGCGGCGUGCCUAAUACAUGCAAGUAGAACGCUGAAGGAGGAGCUUGCUUCUCUGGAUGAGUUGCGAACGGGUGAGUAACGCGUAGGUAACCUGCCUGGUAGCGGGGGAUAACUAUUGGAAACGAUAGCUAAUACCGCAUAAGAGUAGAUGUUGCAUGACAUUUGCUUAAAAGGUGCAAUUGCAUCACUACCAGAUGGACCUGCGUUGUAUUAGCUAGUUGGUGGGGUAACGGCUCACCAAGGCGACGAUACAUAGCCGACCUGAGAGGGUGAUCGGCCACACUGGGACUGAGACACGGCCCAGACUCCUACGGGAGGCAGCAGUGGGGAAUCUUCGGCAAUGGACGGAAGUCUGACCGAGCAACGCCGCGUGAGUGAAGAAGGUUGUCGGAUCGUAAAGCUCGGUUGUAAGAGAAGAACGAGUGUGAGAGUGGAAAGUUCACACUGUGACGGUAGCUUACCAGAAAGGGACGGCUAACUACGUG
Molecule: ribosomal RNA, 495 nt
Filed under: uncultured bacterium
Lineage: Bacteria
Description: partial 16S ribosomal RNA
Rfam family: Bacterial small subunit ribosomal RNA
Source: RNAcentral